This 32-nucleotide transfer RNA is filed under the name Rucervus eldii hainanus. RNAcentral's name for it is "partial tRNA-Thr". Lineage: Eukaryota; Metazoa; Chordata; Mammalia; Artiodactyla; Cervidae. The record is from RNAcentral.
AGAGAAAGGAGAACAACCAACCUCCCUAAGAC